GUUUUGGGUUUUCAACACCAGUGAAAAAAGUGCAUUUUCAUACCUGCGAUUUCUGUUCUCCGGUUGUACGAUGUUUCAACAAAAUAUGGAAUCAUUUCAGUUGUUGAUUUAGUGGUGAAAAUUUGACUGAAUUAUAUCUUAAUAAAUACGAUUUUAUAUGUUUAAUUGGUGUUUCAGAAAGAGGUCAGGUGCUCUUGUUCAUUCAUAAAAUAUCGUUCAUUCAUAAAUUUAUCAUAAAAUAAAAAUCACUACACAGGUACGUGUAGUGUAAAUGACCACCUGUAAUCUAAAAAUAGCGGUCUCACUAAUAACGACAAGAAGAAUUUUAGCGACAAGAAGCGUCAAGAACGGACAAGAAAAAUAAAUUAAGCGACAAGAAGACUAUUUAGCGACAUGAAAACUUCUCGUAUCGCAUGAGGAUGACACAUAUCAAAUGAACAAUUAUGUGUGGGACUUAGUUUUAAGAAAUGAUGUCAAAGUAACACUAUGAAAAUAUUUUUAGUAAGCUGAAAUAUAUAUUUAUUUUUUACAUGUUCAUGUCUUGUAAGUUAUUUUAUUUCUGUCCCAUUUUUCAACAUUAGCGUCUCGAAAGGUGAAAUUUUUUAACUGAAUGGUUAAUUUAAAUUAAUUAUGAAAAUUGUUAAAAUUAAAUAAAUAAAAGUAAUUAUUGCCCAGUUACAAACACUACCAGGGGAUAAUCCAUAAUUACCCCCAACUUUAGCCUGGUAAACUUGUUGUCUCCUUGUGAAAUAUAAAACAUAUUAAAAAUGAUUUCCUGCUUAAGUCUUUUAUUGAUAUAAAGUCAAAACCUUCUUGCUUUUCACUAGACAACCAUGUCCUGUCAGGUUUAAUUCUUAUAUAUGUAGAUGAAAAAUAAAAGUCCCCAAAACAUUAACAUGGCAGCAAUUGCUUUUACAGCCUUUAAGGCUUUGAUUUUUUUACAGAAGAGUGUCCACCAUGCACUUGCACUGCACUAUAAUAAUAGUAGAAUAGAAUUAUCAUAUACAAAUAGAUGAAAAUUAGAUAUACAU
This 1031-nucleotide long non-coding RNA is filed under the name Mytilus galloprovincialis (Mediterranean mussel). Lineage: Eukaryota; Metazoa; Mollusca; Bivalvia; Mytilida; Mytilidae. The record is from RNAcentral.